ACUGUUGAAAUGAUGAGAUUUCUCAUGUCUCUUCUCUGACCUGUUAAUGAUGAGAGAAAUAUUUCUCUGAUCACAGU
Molecule: small nucleolar RNA, 77 nt
Organism: Polyodon spathula (Mississippi paddlefish)
Lineage: Eukaryota; Metazoa; Chordata; Actinopteri; Acipenseriformes; Polyodontidae
Product: small nucleolar RNA SNORD111
Exons: 1
Source: RefSeq, a predicted model, not a curated record